RNAcentral lists this long non-coding RNA (1500 nucleotides) under Carica papaya (papaya). RNAcentral's name for it is "long non-coding RNA (CPAP_LNC014197)". The record is from RNAcentral. Lineage: Eukaryota; Viridiplantae; Streptophyta; Magnoliopsida; Brassicales; Caricaceae.
UAAAAUCUUCAUGAAGGAUAAGAUAGAGGAUAUGUAUAAUUAUUAAAUUUAUAUGAUAAUAAUUUUAAAAAAAUUAUGUAUAACAAUUUUUGAAAAAUAUGUAAAAUUUGUUUAAACUGAAGUAUUUAAUUUGAGUCACUACAUGUCUUGUUUAUUAUCUAGAUAAUUUUAUAUUAUUAUAAAUGAGUUUAAGUAGGUAAAAAAUAAAAUAUUUCUAUCAAAUUAAAUUUUAAAAAAUAAAUAAUAAUUCUUAAAAUUUUAAAUAUACUUGCAGAUGAAAAAAUUGUGACAUCCCAGUACCCGAUGGGACAACGGUGUCCAAUAGCAUAACAUAUACAAGUCCAUAAAAUAUUUAUACAGCUGAAGAAACAGUUAUCCCUUACAAAAUAUGAUGUUCAAAUAUAUUUGAGACCAAUACGUCGACGAAUAAAAUAUAUACAACAUUGCUCUAACCACUUCUAUCAUUACAAAAUAAUUGUUCUAUCAUAGUACAAUUUUAAAUAUACACUCAACAACAACUAUUGGUGUGCAAACAGAUCCAAACAAGCUUUGAAGGGCACCUCGGGGGCUAUUUCUUCACUUUUCACAUCGUAUGGGGGAAUAUGGAUUGUGGUGAGUUCCAUAAAACUCUACGAGGGAAACAAUAUUUAAAUUACACAACUAACAUUUCAAAUAUUAUUUUAUUUUAGAAGAAAAUACCAUUACAUUUAUAGUAAAAGAUACUGUUAGAGAGUGUUAUAGAUUUUAUUACAUCAUUUUUCAUUUAAAAUACUAUUGAAAACUUAGUGCUUUUAAUUUUGAAAUACCAACCUCAAAACAUAAGCAAUUAGAUGAAACAAUGAGAAGCAUAAUUGAUACAACUAUCUAAACAUGGCAUAAUAAAAUAAAACAGUGAAAAACAUAUUCAACACAAGGAAACUCAUCUAGCAUGGGGUCAUAACAAUCCAAUCUAAAUUUCUCGGUUUAGUUUCAAUUAUUUACAGUUUUUUGUGUGAAACCGUUUUAACUUAUAUCAGCAUAUGACAGAAGGGAUCCCCUACUAUUACUAUGACUGGAAAACAGUUCAGUUCGGUAUGCGAGAAAGUAGUUGGAAACUAUGAUCAUGCCUGUACUUCACCACUGUGGCUCUUAGAAUCAAUCGUUAACCACUCUCGUCAUGUAACACCCCUAGAUAUUUCAUAACACACACAUUAUAUUCAAACUCUCCACUCAUGAAUUCAUCUAAAACAAACCGCUGUCUGUGCAUUACAUUUAUCAAGUCUAUCUAACGAAAUCUUCACAACUCGUUUUACAAUUCAACCAUAUCAAGGUAGCAAAUGAAAAAGAAACAGAAAAAGGUUAUAUUUACUAUCGAAACAUAAAAUGAAUGAACAUCCAGUGUAAUCCAAUAUACAUCCAGCUUCCUGUUAAUGCGUUUCUCCUAUGUAUGGUCCCAUUGGCUAGGGUUUUGGUUUUGUCUCGUGUCCUACUACAUUUGCAAAUGAUAUACAGUUAGCAUAC